UACGUAGGGUGCGAGCGUUGUCCGGAUUUAUUGGGCGUAAAGAGCUCGUAGGCGGUUUGUCGCGUCGGCCGUGAAAUCUCCACGCUUAACGUGGAGCGUGCGGUCGAUACGGGCAGACUUGAGUUCGGUAGGGGAGACUGGAAUUCCUGGUGUAGCGGUGAAAUGCGCAGAUAUCAGGAGGAACACCGGUGGCGAAGGCGGGUCUCUGGGCAGAUACUGACGCUGAGGAGCGAAAGCGUGGGGAGCGAACAGG
Molecule: ribosomal RNA, 253 nt
Filed under: uncultured bacterium
Lineage: Bacteria
Description: partial 16S ribosomal RNA
Rfam family: Bacterial small subunit ribosomal RNA
Source: RNAcentral